This is a long non-coding RNA of Ictalurus punctatus (channel catfish), 6186 nucleotides long. The record is from Ensembl. Lineage: Eukaryota; Metazoa; Chordata; Actinopteri; Siluriformes; Ictaluridae.
UAUAUAUAUAUAAUGCCUGCUUGAGGGAGCAUUUGAGUGUUGUUGUUUUUUUUUUUUUAUUUUUGGUGGUUUCCUUGGUGGGGCAGGAAUUCUAAACUCACAUAAAUCAGGUGGAGAGAAACACAAGAGGAACCUUUACACCCCUGGACCUGUCCUGAUCCUUCACCCUGAACACACAAGUAUACCUGACGGCAUCUAACAGGCACCAUUUGACAAACAACAGGUUCCUUCAGGACUAUGAUAGGUGCAUUGCUGAUACCACCUACGAAGCAGGAGCUACGGUCCCCACCAUUGAGUUAAAUGCAGGAGCUAUGCUGAGUCAAGCAAAAAAAACAAAAAACCUUGAGCUCCCUUGAGCACCCAAGAAGAAAUGUCUUUACAAAUUGAUUUAUGUAUUACCAACCUCGCCAGUGGCCUCUGAACCAUCCAUUAAGAUACCACACGCUGCAGCCGCUAAGCCGACAGAACAGGAGGAGAAACCUUUCAGUGGUGGGGGGGACGGCUAGGAGAAGUGGUAGAGGAAGCUUAGCUCGUCAAUUCAAAUCCAGAUCUCUCAAUCUCUGGAUGACUAAAACUAUAAAAUUAGAUCUGUUUCCAAGUGGUGCAACAGAAACCCAUUCAACCUAUUGUCAGGAGAUCACUGGUGCCGCAUCCAUGGCUGGGAAUCCAAGACAGCAAAAUUGGCCGUGCUGUCUGUGUGGGCGGGAUGGCAUACUCUAUCCCCUGUCAAUCAGAGCAACACUAACCAAUCUUGGGUGUCUGUGUGGUUUACAGGGCAGUUAGCACUGUCCUCCAAGUGUGUACAGCCACCCUGUGACAUAACAUGAGCAACAGUUCAAAAAGAUGGAGGGAGGAAGGAGGAUUAGGAAGCACUUUACCCUUUACCCUAACUGGCCGGCAGCUGAUGUGGGAAUUGGCAAAUGACCAAAUUGGAAGAAAAUGGAGUAAAACAGAUUAAAAAAAAAAAAAAAACUGAGAAUGGAACUGUAUUCAGUGAAAAGACGUAGCCAAUCUGAACUAGUUCAAGUUUUAUCACACUACAUCCAACAAAUCAAACUAGCUUCCUGUAUGAAAACACUGUCUGUGGCUCCUUCUGUUUGAGAAGCGGAGCGCAUGAAUACUGCGGAUAAGUUCAGAACUAGUUCUGCAUACAAAGAACCCUCAUAAUUGAGAGAGAGAGAGAGAGAGAGAGAGAGAGAGAGAGAGAGAGAGAGAGAGAGAAAGCAUAGUCUCAUGAAUGCAAAUUUGUAAUAACUCACACUAGUGUAAAAGUUGCAGAUUCGAGAUUAAAAUUUGAGUCAUUUCAGCGUCCCAUUUUUGUACACUUUUCUGGCCACAAGCUUCAGAAUCUUGAGAGUUGCAUUCUGAUUGGUUCUCCAUACUUCCAUGUGCUGGUUUCCAGCAUGAAAACACUGCAGCACUGCAAUAAGCUUUUCAAAGCAAGAUAUAAUGGCUGGACUGAAAACCGUUCCCGUCUUCAAAAGAAUUGUGAAGUUUGAAGCACAUUGUGAUGAUUACACAUGAUAAUCUAGUGUGUUUGCCAACAGGCUAUGGGACGAGAUCUGUGGUUGGUCAGCUGCCAUGUCAUGUUUCUGUGAAAGUAGAUGGUUCUUGGCCACAUUUAUUGACAGAGUUUACCAUACUCUCUAGCUAAAAGUCUGGCAUGUGAGAUUAAAGUAAGGGUGAGUGGAGGAACUUAGCAGUCAUAGCCUUUAUUAUGAACUUCAUUUGAUUAAGAGCAUACUCUGCUUAAUUGCCUCCUUAGUAAAGCUCUCAGUAUCUAAUAACUAAUAAACAGAAUGUCAACACUAUAAUACUGACUAUUGAGGACAGUUAAGGAAACCACAAUCUCCUUUAGCUAGAAAUUUGAACAAGACGACAUACAUACGUGGCAACAGUAGACCCCAGAAAAAAAAAUAGAAAUGGCUGGGUGCAAAGUGAACCCAGAAGUACCGGAUGAUCAAAUCAAACCUUUGCCCCGUAAGCCCUACUUGCUUUGCUGGGUUCUUCUGCCAAGGCAGAGGUCUUGGGUUGGGACUCCACACUGAUUCCACAUAUGAUGCUUAUUAAGGCCCAGUUGGAGCCCGUGGCUCUAAACCAAAUGGUGUGGGGAAUUCUGGGAACACAGGGCUGACUUAAGUGUUAAUAGAGGCCGUUCCAGCACCAUCAGCAGCAUUCCAAAGUGGGCGUAUCCAUCAGAAAGUGACAGAGCUGGAGGGUUCCUUGGAGCUGGAAUUAUAUGUUCUACCAAGACUUUUUGUAAGAAGCAGCAUACUCUGGCUUCUACAACAUCAUUAAGAAUUCUUUUGCCUUUUACUUCACUAUUUCAUUGCUGCUUAUAGGAAGAUCUUCUUUUUUUUAUGUUUCUUUUGCAAAAGUGUUUCUCCUUCAUGCAUUUUUGAGGAGUCCUUCCUGUCUGAACCUGGACUUUUGUAGCUGUGAUGUGAUACAGUUCACUGUAAAGAGCGCUGAAGGAAACAAAAAAUUGAUUUGAAUUGAGCUGAGCCAAAUUCUGUGUCAUGGUGUCAUGCCUCUGAAAUUUCCUUUCUGUCUGUGAGCUUGGCAUAUGGUUAAAUUGAACAAUGUCCUUUGAAUAUAUUGUUAAUAUACAGAUGGCUGAUGUCUUAACAAGGUGUUCAGACACAACAAGCCACUGUCCUUCCAAAAUGGUUGAUGUUUUGAUGAUGGUCAUGGAGAGCACUGGAUUACAGAUCAGUCCACAAUCUUCCACAUGUAUUCAGCUGGGUUGAGAUUUGGUAUGGGCAGAGUCAUCCUACAGGAGACCACACCCAUCAAGAGAGAAAUGGUUCACCAUAGGAUAAAGCAAACACACCUGGGUCAGGUUAUCAAGGCGUGUUAGGAGGUGGAACAGAAUGAAAAUGUGAACUGGUAAUUUAUCUGACUGCAUUAGGAUCCCAUGUCCCAUGUAUUUACAAUCCACAUGGCACCGCCUCUGCAAUCGCUUUUGUUUAAAGUUGCUGACUUAAUUUAUGGAGGGUAAACAGUGACAAAGUGGAGUUCCUGCAAGGUUCAGCUGAAAGAAAACGACAAGGGAUGACAGCAAUCUUCUGGCCUAAAUCUUCAUCUAAACCGCAGUGAUUGACCAGCGUCCCCAUGCCAACGAGCAUCGCAUUAUAGCUGUAAUCCAUUUUUGCAGAUGUAGAGUGGACAUCUGCAGCUGAUGCACUGCGAGACAGACAGAGGUACAGCGUAAUGUCUAAGGAUAUCUGGAUUUCACUGCUCACUUCACAGCGAGACUAAACAAACGUUUACUUCUGGUUUGCUUUGAAAGUGACACACAGUCUAUGCUGACAUUGUUCAGUAGUUUAGGGUCGUUUGAUAGUAAGUCCAAUUUAUCUAGACCUUAAAACCGUAGACUAUGCUUGAGCUUUUGCCCACCAUUCUCUGUAUUAUCAGGCUUCUACUUAUAAUAAAUACAACAGGCAACCAUUUACUGGUCAUGGUCUCUGCAUGGAAGGGAUAGCAGUACUCCCCCUCCUGUCAAUCUGCAUGACACUGACUAAUUUUGUACGUCUCUGAGCUCAUGUAUGUAUGUAAGUAUGUGUAAGAGGGAAGAUUGCACUUUCUUUCAGCUGUGUGCAGUUGCUCUGUGAUGUUCAAAAAGAUAUGGGUGCUGACUUCUUGUAGAUACUGUGGAAGAACAUUGGUUGCUGUGGUGUGAUUGGCAAGAGAUGGCUAGAGGGUGGCAAAUGUCAAAUGGCCAAAUUAGGAGAAAAUGUGGUUUAAAAAAGCAAUCAUGCAUGCCAAUCAGGGCUUAUUUUCAUGGCGUCAUAAUAGAUCAAGUAAUGUCAUUUGCUAUGUAAAUGGAAGCAGAAUUUUUGAUCAUGGGACAUUCUAUGGUUUAAUAUUCUGUCGGAGAAUAUAUCAUUCAUCCAACUUAGUUGUUUAAGCCAUUACUGUCGUAACCAUUUGUGAUUCAGCAAAACAAAAUGUCUUUUCCAAACCAAAACUUAGAAGACUGAGUGCAAAAACAAAACAAAACAAAACAAAAAAAGCCUGCAAAUUGUACUUUUUCAGUUCUAGCAGCUAGGCCAGGGGUGUGGACCCAAGGAUUUGCAUUUUCCCUCCUCUGACACACUGAAUUAAACUCAUUAAGAGCAAGAGCUGUGUCUCAAAUCAUAUAAAACAGAACUACAAACUGAGCAAUAAAAACAUAUAUAAUAUUAUACAUUGUAGAUUAUAGAUUCAGAGCAUUAGACAGUUUUUUUUUUAAUUCUUGCUCAUUACCUUAUCUUGUGUUCUUAAAUUGUUGGAAGAAAUGAAUGUUUCUUAAGUUUCUUUCUUUACUUUUGCACUUUAUCUACAAACAGCUUGUAAUGGAAGUCUUAUUCAUUCAUUCAUCAUCAGAAAGCUCUUUAUCCUGAUAAGGUUAUCAUGAUAAGGAUCCAGAGUCUAUCCUGGGAAUGGGAAUCUGGAUGGGACGCCAGAUCAUCACACAUUCGCACACUCAGGAGCAAUCCACCUUGUUUUCUGGGAGUUGGAGAAAACCGGAGAACCCAGAGGAAAACCACAUGAACAAGGGAAGGAAGAACAUGUUAAAUAUUUGGUCAGUAACUUAAGCUAAGCAUCAAACCAGGGACACUGAAGCUGUGAGGCAACAACGCUACCUUCUGCUGCCCCUGGAAGUCUUAUAUCUCUCAAAAUCUUGUCCACUAAUACACACCCAUAUCUGUACUUAUAUAUUUAACUGCAACUAUAUUAUCAUCUGUAUCACUUCCAGCUUUACAAUGCAGUUCCACCUUUAAAUGUUUGAAGGUUGAGUUUAGUAGGUCCGAUAAUACUAAACUACACUAAGUAAAAAAGUGAUUUGAUUUGGUUGUCCAAGAUGACUGCCAUAAAAUACAAUUGCGGCAUUGAGCUACAGUACACGGUGAAGUCUUGCUCAUGUUUAUACUACUAAAAAACACUCUGUCCUAAACUAUACUGGUAAGUUUGCAUCACUUUCCUCAAAAAUGGGCAUGUGUAUGUAAAAGACUACAUUUGAGGUAAAUUGAAAAUGGUGUAAAUUUGAUCCCCAAUACACGGUUCUAUUAACCCUAUGUUUACACUAGCAAGCAACAAGUCGCUCAUGUCGCAUGUAGUUUGUCUCUUGUGGGCAUGUAGCAACCACUACUGGUGUUGCUUAUGUUUGGUUGUGUUUGUUGUUGUUGUUGUUGCUGUUCCACUGAGGAAACAUAGACACCAAAAUCUAUAGCUUGAUUAAAAAACAUUUGUUUAAAAUGUAUUUAAGUUUGAUUUACAUGUUACAUGCUAGACUUCGUAUAUCGCAGAUAAGCUGUACUAGCUACACACACUCGCCAGAAGCCCCAACGAUCUUUCCUUCGUCCUUCCAAGCUUUAUUUUUCUUUGUAAUGUCUCUAUACACGUUUAACGAUAGGUUGACAGGUAUAUGACAGGAUAAGAAGAAACCACGGUAGUAAGUUUUUCUGAAACGUUUUCCAUACAUCAAAAUUGAAACAAGGAAUAAAGUUCUGAGCGGGGAAAUCAGGAAACAUGUGGCACAGGACUGGUCGCUUUUUGUUUGUUGCUUGCUAGCGUCAACAUAGGCUUAGUCAGCUAGCCGACGUCAAGUGAAUACUGUCACUGCUAUUUGCGGGGGUUUUUUACCGUAAUACAAAAAAAAAAAUUCUGCUUAAUUAUCAUGUACAGACCGCCACAAAAACAUGUUCUAUGUCUAUACUAGUCCGUUAUACAGACUUUUACGUGUUAGGCUAUAUCGUGGUAUAAAAUUACUUUGCGGUAAAUCAAGAACAUAACUCCGCAGUACCCUCACCCUCCGUGACUGGAAUCUGACACUUCUGACCCAGACCUAUAAGAUCAAAGAGCAUUGCGUCUCGCCACUUUUCUCCACAAACAGGACGUAUAGGCUAUUGAACACACCAUGCACCGAGGCUAAGAGAUGCAAAGCAUCUGAGACAUGAACACACUGAGCUGAACCUUAGCUGUAAUAUAAAUAGUCCUAUUCUGUGGUUAAUUUUUUUUUUUUUUUUUAGUACUGUAAUGACUCACACUGCAAGUCUCACAGGCGAGAAGAAACGAUAAUCUAGCAAAUGGAAGUCAAUCUGAUCUGAAUAAUUUAUAACUUUUUAACACAGAUGAGUGACACUGUAAUCUAUAUAUACCUGACAUAUGACACAUAUGAUGUGCAACCAUGUAUUGUUUUGG